This is a small nuclear RNA of Cricetulus griseus (Chinese hamster), 101 nucleotides long. The record is from Ensembl. NCBI's taxonomy places the organism in Eukaryota, Metazoa, Chordata, Mammalia, Rodentia, Cricetidae.
GUGCUCUCUUCGGGAGCACACAUCCUAAAAUUGGAACGAUACAGAGAAGAUUAGCAUGGCCCCUGCAUGACAUGCAAAUUCGUGAAAUGUUCAAUAUUUUU